UCUCUCCGUGCAGAAGCGGGGAUAAAAACAUCAGACGAGAAGACCCUAUGGAGCUUCAAACACUUAAAUUAAUUAUGUAAAAUAUAAUAUUCCAAGGAUAUAAACAAAUAAUAUAAUAUUUCUAAUUUAACAUGUUUUUGGUUGGGGUGACCAAGGAGAAAAACAAAUCCUCCUGAUCGAUUGAGUAUUCAAAUACUUAAAAAUCAGAAUAACUAUUCUGAAUGAUAAUACAUUUAUCGAAAUAUGACCCAGGACUUACCUGAGCAAUGAACCAAGUUACCCUAGGGAUAACAGCGCAAUCCUUUCCCAGAGUCCUUAUCGACGAAAGG
Molecule: ribosomal RNA, 329 nt
Filed under: Brachaelurus waddi (blind shark)
Lineage: Eukaryota; Metazoa; Chordata; Chondrichthyes; Orectolobiformes; Brachaeluridae
Description: partial large subunit ribosomal RNA
Source: RNAcentral